GGAAAAAGAAAAAGAAAAGGGAAGCCACCCUUCUUCCUCAUUCACGUACUGCUUCCCUCACGUAACCACGCAGCCAUUGCUGCCGCCAGCGCUGCGACCACCAAGUCGGACCACCGUCGUCCUCCCCUGCCGCCGCCACCACCUCACGGCCGCCUGCUGCAGCCAGCCACGCCGCCUGGUCCUGCGACCACCUUAUCUCUGUCGCACCUCCGUCGGCCACCUCCUCUUUCCUUCUUCUUCACGAAACACCAACGCUCCUUAACUCCUCUUUCCUUCCUUUGCGUGCUACCACCACCAACGCACGCCCACCAGCGCAGCCACCACCCUGCUCCACCGUCGCACCACCAGUCUCCGCGACCAGUCGUGUUGCUGCCGCGAAAUCUGCCGCCGGCCAGCCUCCUCUUUCUUUUCUUUGGUGGAGAAUUCUCUUUAGGCGACUUUUAAAAGUGUUAAAGUGACGUAUCAGUUUGUUUACACAAGUCUCUAAGGAUCAAUAAGCAUUGUCCAUCUGCAGGUUUGAAGAUGUUGCAUCAUUGGGAUCGGGAAUAGAGAGCUUGUAUUUAGUUUUGAUUUGCUAAGUUAACUUGGGUUUGUUAAUUGGGACUUUAAACUUGUCGUACUAUUUAUAUUUCCUUAUUUUCGUUGGUUGAUUUUUGGGGACUAAAUCUGUAAUCGAUUAUUUAUAAACCUAAAGUUAGUUUUAUGUUUUCCGCUGCAAAAUUCUGAAUAAGCCGUUACGUUUUCACA
Molecule: long non-coding RNA, 747 nt
Organism: Spinacia oleracea (spinach)
Lineage: Eukaryota; Viridiplantae; Streptophyta; Magnoliopsida; Caryophyllales; Amaranthaceae
Exons: 4
Source: RefSeq, a predicted model, not a curated record